GGGUGCGAUCAUACCAGCACUAAUGCACCGAAUCUCAUCAGAACUCCGCAGUUAAGCGUGUUUGGGCGAGAGUAGUAGGAUGGGUGACCUCCUGAGAAGUCCUCGUGUUGCACCCC
Molecule: ribosomal RNA, 116 nt
Organism: Gossypium raimondii (Peruvian cotton)
Lineage: Eukaryota; Viridiplantae; Streptophyta; Magnoliopsida; Malvales; Malvaceae
Source: Rfam